UGGGGGCACCCUGAUGGAGCAACGCCGCGUGAAGGAUGAAGGUCUUCGGAUUGUAAACUUCUUUUAUAAGUGAAGAAUAUGACUGUAACUUAUGAAUAAGCACCGGCUAACUACGUGCCAGCAGCCGCGGUAAU
RNAcentral lists this ribosomal RNA (134 nucleotides) under uncultured bacterium. Its description in RNAcentral is "partial 16S ribosomal RNA". It matches the Rfam family "Bacterial small subunit ribosomal RNA", at positions 372 to 524 of the family's 1533-position model. The record is from RNAcentral.